AGUGAACGCUGGCGGUAGGCCCAACACAUGCAAGUCGAACGGCAGCACAGUAAGAGCUUGCUCUUACGGGUGGCGAGUGGCGGACGGGUGAGGAAUACAUCGGAAUCUACUUUUUUGUGGGGGAUAACGUAGGGAAACUUACGCUAAUACCGCAUACGACCUACGGGUGAAAGCAGGGGAUCUUCGGACCUUGCGCGAUUGAAUGAGCCGAUGUCGGAUUAGCUAGUUGGCGGGGUAAAGGCCCACCAAGGCGACGAUCCGUAGCUGGUCUGAGAGGAUGAUCAGCCACACUGGAACUGAGACACGGUCCAGACUCCUACGGGAGGCAGCAGUGGGGAAUAUUGGACAAUGGGCGCAAGCCUGAUCCAGCCAUACCGCGUGGGUGAAGAAGGCCUUCGGGUUGUAAAGCCCUUUUGUUGGGAAAGAAAAGCAGCAGGUUAAUACCCCGCUGUUCUGACGGUACCCAAAGAAUAAGCACCGGCUAACUUCGUG
RNAcentral lists this ribosomal RNA (492 nucleotides) under uncultured bacterium. Its description in RNAcentral is "partial 16S ribosomal RNA". It matches the Rfam family "Bacterial small subunit ribosomal RNA", at positions 29 to 507 of the family's 1533-position model. The record is from RNAcentral.